UUAAGCGUCCUUGGGAUAGUUGGAGUUAAGCAUCCUUGGGUUUGAAUAGUACUGGGCUGGGUGACCUCAUGGGAAGUCCAAAUUCAGGAGCUUACA
Selaginella moellendorffii is the source of this 96-nucleotide non-coding RNA. NCBI's taxonomy places the organism in Eukaryota, Viridiplantae, Streptophyta, Lycopodiopsida, Selaginellales, Selaginellaceae. The record is from Rfam.